CCCGCACAAGCGGUGGAGCAUGUGGUUUAAUUCGAUGCAACGCGAAGAACCUUACCAGGGUUUGACAUGCAAGUAGUAGGAAUCUGAAAAGGGACCGACCUUCGGGAGCUUGCACAGGUGCUGCAUGGCUGUCGUCAGCUCGUGUCGUGAGAUGUUCGGUUAAGUCCGCUAACGAGCGCAACCCUCACUGUGUGUUAUAUGUGUCACACGGGACUGCCGGUUUUAAGCCGGAGGAAGGUGGGAUGACGUCAAGUCAGCAUGGCCUUUAUAUCCUGGGCUACACACACGCUACAAUGGUCGGUACAAUAGGUUGCCAAGCCGCGAGGCGGAGCCAAUCCACAAAGCCGGCCUCAGUUCAGAUUGUAGGCUGCAACUCGCCUGCAUGAAGAUGGAGUUGCUAGUAACCGCAGGUCAGCAAUACUGCGGUGAAUACGUUCCCGGGUCUU
Molecule: ribosomal RNA, 446 nt
Filed under: uncultured Anaerolineaceae bacterium
Lineage: Bacteria; Bacillati; Chloroflexota; Anaerolineae; Anaerolineales; Anaerolineaceae
Description: bacterial SSU rRNA
Rfam family: Bacterial small subunit ribosomal RNA
Source: RNAcentral